UUAUGGCUCAGGAUUAACGCUGGCGGCGUGCCUAAUACAUGCAAGUCGAAUGGUAGUAGCAAUACAAACCAUGGCGAACGGGUGAGUAACACGUAGGUAACCUGUCUUUAAGACGAGGAUAACCAUUGGAAACGAUGGAUAAUACUGGAUAGGACAUCAUAAAGGGCAUCCUUAGAUGUUUAAAGAUUAUUAUGUCACUUAGAGAGGGGCCUGCGGCGCAUUAGCUAGUUGGUGAGGUAAAAGCCCACCAAGGCGAUGAUGCGUAGCCGGACUGAGAGGUUGAACGGCCACAAUGGAACUGAGAACGGUCCAUACUCCUACGGGAGGCAGCAGUAGGGAAUUUUCGGCAAUGGGCGCAAGCCUGACCGAAGCAACGCCGCGUGAACGAAGAAGUUAUUCGUAAUGUAAAGUUCUUUUAUCUGGGAAGAAAAAACAAAUUGACGGUACCAGAUGAAUAAGCUCCGGCUAACUACGUGCCAGCAGCAGC
Molecule: ribosomal RNA, 487 nt
Filed under: uncultured bacterium
Lineage: Bacteria
Description: bacterial SSU rRNA
Rfam family: Bacterial small subunit ribosomal RNA
Source: RNAcentral